CAAAACUGUUCAGAAAAAUAGGCACCGAGGCGGCAGCGGAGAUGUAAGGCUGCCGAACGGCCAAAAAGAGGCCAAGCAGGACCUGCGCCCACCAAAGCUGUUUCUUCCUACGGCCCUGGUGCAUCACACGCACAAGCACGAAAAGUACGAGACAAAAAAAGGGAGGACUUCUUUUUUUUCCUUCCCUUUUUUUUUUUCCUUACCAACCCGCCUUCCCUCCCCUGCAGCCAGCUGCCUCUCGGCUGGUGCACGACCGAAAGCAAGAGGGGCGCGAGCGGUCUUCCAGCCCCGCCAGUGCGCGGGGCCGGAAACCUGAGCCGUCAAAAGCAGAGGAGAUUUUCACUGGCCACUUAACCCGCUCUUCGACACUCAGGAGAAAAGCUACUUGAAUCCUUUCCCAGCACCAGAGCCCUUCUAGCCACCGAAAGUAUCUGCCCAGGAAUGCGAGAUACAGGCCCAACAAGCACGUUUUAAAACAAGACAAGGGUGUGUUUUUAAGCUGUCCUUCAGUUCGACCUAUAUUUAAGUAACACCAGGGUAAUUUGUUAUGACUGAGGAUUUUUAUCAGUUCAGUAACUCCAAAGCUGCGGUGCUACGCUGGUAUAAACUCUCCCCUUACCAAAUCAUUUCAGCCUCUUUGCCCCAGAAACAGCUGCAUGAUAUGAAGAAAAGGGACCGGAAAAGAGGGCCACACUGGAGAAAAGGAGAGUGAGGAGCCAGAGGAAGGACUGGGAUACCUGGCUGUACAGAUUGCUAACUCAGCUAGUGUCAUGGACAGUUUAUAACUAACAGUUUUUAACUGAGGUGCAAUGGGAAGGGUAGGACAACAUCCUCAUCACCCUGCCUGGUUAAACCAACCCUCUGCAAGAGAACCAAGAACUGGCUCACAGUGAAUUUAUCCGGACUUUGAACAUGCCUCCUCGCUGCCUUUCAGCUGCUUCCGGAUGGGGCUGCCACAAGACCAGACAGGUAGAAAGCGCAAGGAACCCAUUACUGUUGCAUCUCUGUAAGAACCAGAAAAGCAAUGGACAUUUGCUCCAGGUCUGUCAAAUAGAUGCAUUGCUCGGUGGGGAACACAGCAGGAACAGCAAGUUAUAAAUAUUCAGGUAAAUCUUAAAUCCAGACAUACCCCUUCUAUAUAACUAAUAAUCUCAGGAGAGCUCUAUGCUCUUCAGCCAUUUCUCUCCCUGAAGAGAAGGCAAGGAAAGAAAUUCAAUCCCAUAACUUGAAUGAGGCCUAUUUAAUCCACUCCUGAAUACCUGCCAAAUACAAAAGGAACUAGUACCACAGCCAGGCUAAGUGGUG
Molecule: long non-coding RNA, 1305 nt
Filed under: Apteryx owenii (little spotted kiwi)
Lineage: Eukaryota; Metazoa; Chordata; Aves; Apterygiformes; Apterygidae
Description: lncRNA (ENSAOWG00000018224.1)
Source: RNAcentral